This is a long non-coding RNA of Drosophila gunungcola (fruit fly), 3487 nucleotides long. RefSeq lists it as uncharacterized. The record is from RefSeq and is a predicted model, not a curated record. The transcript has 5 exons. NCBI's taxonomy places the organism in Eukaryota, Metazoa, Arthropoda, Insecta, Diptera, Drosophilidae.
CUUCGCUAAAAACAGAUCGUGAAAUGCAGUAUUUCGUUUAAUUGUGAUAAAAUAAACAAAAAGAAGACAAAAUAUGGAGCUUUUACACCCUUGCGAUUUACUGAACUUAUUGCUUGUGUAUUUAAACUAAAGAGCUGCAUCAUUGCUGGAAUCAAAGGACCAUAAACCGCUGACACUGCUUCUAGCUGGAGUCCCAGACUGAAUGGCAAGGCAAACUGCCGGAGAGGGAGCCCAUAUGCUAUAUGCUCCGUUAUCUAUGCACUGCCGUAAAAACACAAAUGAGGAAAGGCUUUCUGUUCUAUUGCGUGUGUGUGUGUGCUCUUACUCGAUAGCUGGAAAAUUGAAAUUGAAAAUCUAUUGCGUUUUAUAGUAGUCGCCGGGAAUGUCAAGUUCAGACAAAGCUGGAUUAAUUGCCAACGCAGCAACUGAUGGAGCCAUUUUAAUUGCGAACGGAUUAAUUGGUUAAUCCUCCAGGCUGGCAACUAUAUCAAAGGCAGAGCCAGCCAGUUGCCAGUUGCCAGUCAAGGAUGAAGUCAAGAUAGCAACCACACACUCAAACACACACACACACAUCUGGAGCCGCACAAGGACUUACACUUACACUCGCACAAUCUUAAACACACAUACACAUAUCCCAUAUGCGACAAGUUGGCGGCCACAAUCUUGGAUUUAUACGGCUUCGAGUGCCUUCAGUGGCGGUUAAGAGGAAACCAACGCGAGUUAUUAGCUAGCUUGAUAGCUAUCCCAUGGCCCCACCUGAAUCCUGCUAAUCGACUGCCAACCACGCGAUGAUUACAAAAAUUUCCACUUGGCCGCAUAUUUUCCUGAUUAAUUCUAGGCCAAUAUAAAAUGCGCACCAUGAAUAUUUCAUACCACAAAAGCGCCACCAAAUAUGCCAAACCAAAAAUAUACAAAAAAAAAAAAAAAAACGAAAUGUUUAAGCAAAGGGCAUAGUAUAGCACAGCAUAGCAUGGCAAAUAAAACGAAGCUUACUUUAUACAAUUGGCAAACCGCAAACAAAGUGAAUUUCAUUUCAGUUUGCGGCCACAGACGUGUCAGUUUGGACACAUGAAUGAUGAAUUAUAUUCGGUGGUCAAUUUGGAAUACAUAUUUCACCGGCAAACCAGAAGCAAUAAAAUACACCCCCGGAAUAAUCACCAUGGUCCCGAAAAAUCGGGGGCAAAAACCACAGAGAGCUGUUUGCAAAGCUGAUCAGGAACUUGGUCUUGCCUUUUACAAUUUCAAGAGUCCUGGAGGGUCCUUUUUUCGGUUUGCCAAUAUAUAAUAUAUAGUAUACAAGUCGAUCGGUCGAACCUACUGGCUGGCAAAUAAUAAAGUGAUUUCGAUUUAAGCUUCCAACAUCAAUUCAAUUGCAAUGCCAAAUUGUUGUUUCCAACCCAACAGCGUUCACUGGGUGACUUUUCCAUUGCCCCAUUGACAAGGGGGCGUGGCAGAGGGACGGAGGGGCGGCUGGCGAGCCAGUGCUUAAUUGAAAAACGUAAUUAACUUGAAUUUUCUGCUUUUGGCGUUUAUUGCCGCUCAUUUGCAACGGGCCAUCCAAACGGUUAGGGUCGCCGUUGCAGCUGCAGUCUGCGUAUUUAUUUGCACUGCACCGAAGUGCACCGUGGAUGUGAAUGUGAAUGUGGAUGUGGAUGAGGAUGCGGAUGGUCAGCUCCAUGAUGAUGGGAUUGGGAAUUGAGUUUGCGUUGGAUUGGGUUUUUGGGCCAUGCACUGCACAACCCUGACUUGAUGAUGAUAAGGCUCCUGCUGUUUAGGGAUGGCAGACUAUACAGCAUUUAUUCGCAGUGUAGCCACUCGGAGGGCGGCUGACUUGCAAGUUGCAGCAACCAAACGGGGAGCAAGGACAGCUCGGCACCGGACAACAGCUCAGGAUGUGUGUAGGUAGGUCGUUGGUAGGUUGUAAGGCAGAUCGGUGGGUGGUGUUCGGUGAGUUGGGGAGUGCAGUGCAGACGAAUUAAUUAAAAAUUCCGAAAAUAUCCGGUUAGCUCUUUAUAACAGUUUCAUGUACAAUGCCGAACUCAUGCUGCAUUCGACAAAAUGUCUUUCGCCCACCUUUGUGAGUGUACUCUGGCAUCCUGCUAAAGAACUUUAACACUGCACUGCUGAAAUUUUAAAACUUCCCCGGGCGCCUCAAGAUGGCUUCAUCUACUAUAUCUGGCCGACAGCCAUUCAAACUAUUUUCGUUUCGGCCGUUUACCAGGCAAUCUACAUAAAUGAAUUCAUUUGCCCAUCCAUAUAUGCAUAUGCAUAUAUAAAAAAUGGAAUGCAGAGUGUACGGGUCGUAUACGCAAUAUUUGAUAUUUAUGCUCUAAUUGAGGGUACAACUUGAGGUCCUGGGCUUGGCUUAAAGUCAUGUUUGUUCACAGAAAUAAUUGCUGUUGCACAAAAAGAAGAGAAGGCAGUAAACGGAAGUGUUUCGGCAUCAAAUAUAUAUGAAGAAAAAUCAUUAAAAGAGAGGAAAAUGUAAAAGGUCGUAUAAAAAAAGAGGAAGUUAGAAAACGUUCUGUGCUGGUUCAAUCGGUCGAGUAUAAUGGCCAUUUUGCGAUAAAAAAUGACCGGAAUGCUCGUUAAAACUAAAAACAAUUGACCAGAUAAAUUAGCGGCAUUAAAAUACUGAAAGGCCAAAAAAUGGUCCAAAGACCGGAAGGAAAUGCGAACGAUUGAUUCAAUUAAUUGCCAAAUUAAAAGCGGAGCACAUUUUAUCCGCAAAAGGGAAGUAAAAUGGAAUAAAAGGCAAUGUUAUGACAAUGUUAGGAAACCAAAUAAUAAAUGAUGAAGGGGCUGGCUGGCUGGCAGUAACCGAUCUGGGCCGACACAAAGUGACAGCCGCCGGGGGCCUCACAAUUGAAUUUAUUAUGGCAUUUCGACUCGGAGAGCGUCAAUUGAAUGAAAGUGGACUAAAGCAAAAGCCCACCCACACACACACACACACACACUUACUCGUUUUCAAAAGCAGAGAGAAAGGAAGAAAGUCGGGCAAAGCUCUGUUGCAAUAGCAUCAUUAUUGGACUAAACCGAAACUAUUUGCCUCAAUGGGCCAAAAGCGCCACACGACACGCCAAAGGACACAGCCAUAGAAUCAAACAGAGAAAGGAGCAAAAACACAGACAUCUACGACUGCAGAUAGUAGAAAGGACAUGGACAUCCACAUCCACAUCCACGCCAGUGAUAGUCCAAUGCCCUCGGGGUGUACUUUUCGCCACUUUCGCUACGGCCAAAAGUGUUGACUGUCUUUGAUUUUGUUUGUCUGCCUGUUUUGGCUGUUGGCUGCUGACUGCUAGCUAUUGGCCGGUCAACUUUGGGCCUCGCUGGAGCAGAGGUUAGGUUGCCCCAGGGGGAAAGGGCCAACACCAGCAAUUACACACAGUUUUGUCAAUCGAGGGAAAGUUUAGAGACUAUGGCGCAUAAUCAGCAAAUGAAUCAAAAACCAGAUGGCUGAUAGACUCAUUACAGAGCGCUCACUUGA